This 253-nucleotide ribosomal RNA is filed under the name uncultured bacterium. RNAcentral describes it as "partial 16S ribosomal RNA". It matches the Rfam family "Bacterial small subunit ribosomal RNA", at positions 524 to 776 of the family's 1533-position model. The record is from RNAcentral.
UACGUAGGGUGCGAGCGUUGUCCGGAAUUAUUGGGCGUAAAGGGCUCGUAGGCGGUUUGUCGCGUCUGCUGUGAAAACCUAAGGCUCAACCUUGGGCUUGCAGUGGGUACGGGCAGACUAGAGUGCGGUAGGGGUGACUGGAAUUCCUGGUGUAGCGGUGGAAUGCGCAGAUAUCAGGAGGAACACCGAUGGCGAAGGCAGGUCACUGGGCCGCAACUGACGCUGGGGAGCGAAAGCAUGGGGAGCGAACAGG